GCCUGAGUGGCUCAGUCGGUUGAGCGUCUGACUUGGGCUCAGGUCAUGAUCCCAGGGUUUGUGGGUUUGAGCCCCACAUUGGGCU
RNAcentral lists this transfer RNA (85 nucleotides) under Felis catus (domestic cat). It matches the Rfam family "tRNA". From Rfam's summary of the family: Transfer RNA (tRNA) molecules are approximately 80 nucleotides in length. Their secondary structure includes four short double-helical elements and three loops (D, anti-codon, and T loops). Lineage: Eukaryota; Metazoa; Chordata; Mammalia; Carnivora; Felidae. The record is from Rfam by way of RNAcentral.